AGUGAACGCUGGCGGUAGGCCUAACACAUGCAAGUCGAACGGCAGCACAGUAAGAGCUUGCUCUUACGGGUGGCGAGUGGCGGACGGGUGAGGAAUACAUCGGAAUCUACUUUUUCGUGGGGGAUAACGUAGGGAAACUUACGCUAAUACCGCAUACGACCUACGGGUGAAAGCAGGGGAUCUUCGGACCUUGCGCGAUUGAAUGAGCCGAUGUCGGAUUAGCUAGUUGGCGGGGUAAAGGCCCACCAAGGCGACGAUCCGUAGCUGGUCUGAGAGGAUGAUCAGCCACACUGGAACUGAGACACGGUCCAGACUCCGACGGGAGGCAGCAGUGGGGAAUAUUGGACAAUGGGCGAAAGCCUGAUCCAGCCAUACCGCGUGGGUGAAGAAGGCCUUCGGGUUGUAGAGCCCUUUUGUUGGGAAAGAAAAGCAGCAGGUUAAUACCCCGCUGUUCUGACGGUACCCAAAGAAUAAGCACCGGCUAACUUCGUG
RNAcentral lists this ribosomal RNA (492 nucleotides) under uncultured bacterium. RNAcentral describes it as "partial 16S ribosomal RNA". It matches the Rfam family "Bacterial small subunit ribosomal RNA", at positions 29 to 507 of the family's 1533-position model. The record is from RNAcentral.